Molecule: long non-coding RNA, 1554 nt
Organism: Stegostoma tigrinum
Lineage: Eukaryota; Metazoa; Chordata; Chondrichthyes; Orectolobiformes; Stegostomatidae
Exons: 3
Source: RefSeq, a predicted model, not a curated record
CACAACAUGUCGACACAGUGGGGAAUAAAAACGGAAAAAUGCUGGAAACAUUCAGCAGGUCAAGCAGCAUUUGUGAAGUACUGUUCCCAGUUCUGAUGAAGCCACGCGCUGAAUGUUCGCUGGGGCAUAGAGACUCAGCUGAUCUUUAAGAAAGUCGCAUGGGAACCUGAUUCGUAAAUCAUACCCUAUUUCUGAUAGAGACCGUACAGCAUAGCUGAAGGGACGUGGGGUAUGACUAAUACAUAAGGAAAGCAAAGCUCACCCGCUAUCAUUUGAACUGAGGGCUGAACAAGCCCAAUUUUCACGGACAGCAGGCCAGGCAGCAUCAGAGGAGCAAGGACAUUAUGCCACAGUGUAGAAGUCAUGAAUUUGUGAAGAAGACAUAAAUGCACGCAAAGGGGUUAAUGACGGAUGUCACAGCCACUUUGAAAUACAGAACAGAUGUGUAUCUCAGCCACCGUCUUGCAGGAAGGCCUGGUGGAGUGAUACCAUCAGUAAGUUUUCUAAUAGAAGCGGCAUGAAUAGGUGGAGUCAGGCUCCCACAGACUGCCUCAGUAGCUGAAAAGUCACGAAUGGUCCUUUGCAAUUUUCAUCUCUACUUCUGUUGAAGGGAAGGUCACUGAUGAAGCAGCUGAAGAUCAAUGAUCCCAUCCCUGAGGACCUCUUGCAGCAAGGGCCCAAGAGAGAGUUGGUUGGUUUCUACCAACCACAACUAUCUUGCAUUGCACCACGAAAGACUCUACCACUGAGAAGUCUUCCUCCUAAUUCCCAUUGAGUGUGACAAGAAAAAGAAGAUUAGCUCAGGUUGCUGCUGCUGUGUGUAAUAAUGAGAUGAAGAUGUCACGUAAUUGGAUUGUGUCAAAGAAUUGUUUUGCGGUGUUUUAAAAUGUUAAGUCGAUCUAACGACUGCAAGAAGAAAUGUGACACAAGCUGAUAUUGAUUAAUUGUGUCCAUGUUUGUUAUCUUUCAAAAUUGGGACUGUUAACUCUUUCCACUGGCUGCUUGUUUUUAUGUUUUCUAAUAUACUAUCUCAAUGUUUAAUUCACCGAGGAACAUUUGUAUUGAAUGAGCACGUGAAGAUUCUGAUACUAUCUAGUGAUGCACAGAUGUCACCAGGGAUAUGCAAUUCACUGGAAAUUGAUAUGAGAUUUCAUUGGCUAUAUAUUGUAUGAAAGAUAUUAUCACACUAGUGUGUGUGUAUUAAUAUCCAUCAGGAUAACAGCGACAUAACAUCUUGUGUGGAAUAAUCUCACUCAUCCAAUAUUGAAAUGGAAAUGCAAAUGAAUGUGUAAAAUGUGGAAAUGGGGUUUGGGGAUUGUAUGCACUGAAUUUAUGCCCCUAUAAUCAUUUCUUUAUUGUAAAUGUUCGGAAAUCAUUUGGAAAUGAGAUCUUUUUCUCAUCAAUCUCAUUUAAUUAUAGAAUGUGCUGGCUUGUGAUUUGAUAAACAAACCUUUGAAUAACAUCCUGAGAAUCUGAGGAACUGCGACACUACUUUGAUUUUGUUCCUGUUGUACUUUUGAGAAAAAGACGGGGAAAUAGAAUUCAGACUAGGAA